Molecule: ribosomal RNA, 369 nt
Filed under: uncultured bacterium
Lineage: Bacteria
Description: bacterial SSU rRNA
Rfam family: Bacterial small subunit ribosomal RNA
Source: RNAcentral
ACGAAGGUGGCAAGCGUUAUUCGGAUUUACUGGGCGUACAGGGAGCGUAGGCGGUUCGGUAAGCCCUUUGUGAAAUCUCCAGGCUUAACCUGGAAAAGUCGGAGGGGACUGCCGGGCUAGAGGACGGGAGAGGAGCGCGGAAUUCCCGGUGUAGCGGUGAAAUGCGUAGAGAUCGGGAGGAAGGCCGGUGGCGAAGGCGGCGCUCUGGAACGUUUCUGACGCUGAGGCUCGAAAGCGUGGGGAGCAAACAGGAUUAGAUACCCUGGUAGUCCACGCCUUAAACUAUGAAUACUAAGUGUCGGCGGGUUACCGCCGGUGCCGCAGCUAACGCAUUAAGUAUUCCGCCUGGGAAGUACGGCCGCAAGGUUG